RNAcentral lists this long non-coding RNA (1357 nucleotides) under Capra hircus (goat). RNAcentral's name for it is "lncRNA (ENSCHIG00000005513.1)". The record is from RNAcentral. Lineage: Eukaryota; Metazoa; Chordata; Mammalia; Artiodactyla; Bovidae.
CCGAGGCAGGUAAAGGCCCCAGAGCAGGUAGAGGAGGGCCAUAUUCCGUCACCUUUGCUUCCAGUGUGGACUAGGAUGAGCUGGGUGACCCAAACUUUAACCUGUUCCAAGGAUGCAGAGAGACCCGGCUCCCCACGAAGACCCUCAAACAGGCUGGCAGAGCCUGAGGCUGGACGGCUCAGAGCAUGGGCCUUUGACAACCAAACUCACCUUGGUGGAGCAAGGUGCUUUCCGCCUCCGUUGGAUGACACCCCUCCACUGUAGGCCAGGGCAGGGACCGCCAGGAGCAGCAGGCAAGCCGGGAUUCUCUGGGUGUGCGGGCUUCUGCUAGCAGUGCUGUCCGGGGCUCAUCCCCUCCUCCAUGUGGCCAGAGCUGCCUUGGAUGUGAAUGAGCGCUUCUGACCCAACUGAGCUUCCGGGUAACGGGCCGGAUGGAUGGACUCUGGAGUAGUUUGGGGCGUCCCUGGUUAAGGAAUCAGCCUGGAGGAAAACAGUCCUUAUACCUCAAGUUCCACCUUCUCCUUUAAGGAAGGUCCACUAAGACCCGGGCCCGGGGGACCAGCCUGCACGCGUGCCUGAGGCCAAGCUCGCAGAGCCUGGUUUUCCACGAGCUCCGGAUGUUCUCCGACCUGGCUGGCUCCUCUGUGUCCUCCUUGGCGUGGGGAUCCGCUGCUGCCUGUGGGGCGCAUCAUGGACAUGCUGUCGCCGCACAACAGAGAUGAGUGUUGAGAACUGCAAAGUGAGAAAGGAAGGCCAGAGACACCUGCCACGGAAGACCAUGCAAGAGAGAAACCAAAGCCGGUAAAAGAGGAGCUUUCCCAGGUCCCAGAUCAGGCCCAAGCAGAGGGCCUUCAGAUAAGUGUGAGGAAUGAGUUAGUGCAUCCACUCCCCGGAGAAAACCAUGGCGGAAGACAGCAAUGACCGGAAUCUGUGAUGACCUCAUUCUCCAAGAUGGAGAUAUGACAUGGAAGUCCGGAAACUGGGAAAGCCGAACUGAAAUCAAUUCCAUGCUAUUAUCUCUGCGUUUAGAAGGGUAUCUCAGCUCUUCUGCAAGCUCACAGGUGAAUUCCUCUGUCGUAGCCUGCAGAGUUUUUGGAGGAACAGGCUGUGGUAGUUUUCUGAUUAAGAACAGCAGCAAGCAAUCACCUCCAAGAACUAAGGAAGAUAAAGAGGAACCAAAGGAUGGAGGGGAGGUCAAUCACUCACUUUGUGUCUGCACAUUUAUUGUUAUGCCAUAUCUACCUUUUAUUUUGAGCAUUUGUUUCCUAUUAUAAUCCAAGGGAAAAUAAAUCAUAGGAGGCAAGGCAUCUUUCUUGUAAAACUUCACAAUCAGACCAGUCCUUUGUGGUCUGACCUA